Molecule: long non-coding RNA, 1264 nt
Organism: Condylura cristata (star-nosed mole)
Lineage: Eukaryota; Metazoa; Chordata; Mammalia; Eulipotyphla; Talpidae
Exons: 3
Source: RefSeq, a predicted model, not a curated record
GGUUUUUAACUAGGGUUUAGUUUCUCCAUAGCAGGUAAAUGUUACCAAGGUGUAACUCACUUCUUUGGAGGAGAUCAAACGUCCAGAUUCCUAGAAAUUACGGGAAUGAAUGAAGUACUGAGGAAAGAAGCAGCAUGAAGUGACAACUCUUCCAUCCUACAGGGAACUGCAUCAGUGGUGUCAGAGAAGCACCCUCGAAGAAACAGACCGGCCAAGUCAUCAGGGGGAGAAGCAAGAAAACAUUCCAGUGCAGGAAUGGGGAACCCAAGCUGAGUCAGAGACGGAGUCAGGAGUCGGGGCGGCCGGAUCACUCGGGUGUUCGGGGUGUGUGCAGGAGCCCAGACGGCUGCGCAGAGGAGGCCUUCCGAGUCUCCAGGUGAGUGCUGAGCACAUCAAUCCCCAAGGAUGGGUCAAAACUCCCAAAAAAGGCAGAAAAAUUCUUGACCUGGAGAAAGUUCGUGUUUCCGAAACCGAACUAGAAAGCCGCAUACGAACAGGCAGCUACGGCGGCGUGCGGGAGGAGAUGCUUCAGCAGUGAGGGCCGUCGGAACCGCACCCACCCACGUCAGGCUUAGAAGCAAAUCUUGACGUGACCAGGUAACUUCCAGGUAAUUGCAUUUCAAAACAAAGCUUAAAAGGCUUUCAGGUACACACAUACAAAACUAAGCGAUGUCAAGUCAAAUUUAUAUCCCAUAUUACCAGGCAUGCAAGAAAGUAGAAAACUGUGACCCAGCGUGAUACCUACAAAUCAACUUAAAGAUACUGUGUUAAACGUCUUUUGUCCAUAUCUGCUAUUUCUAAUAUAAAUGGUUAACAGAAAGAAAAUGCCUGUUAAUAAGAAACAUGAAUUUUUUGUAAUGAGAUUUCCGUAAGUGCAAAUACAUUGCAGAGGGUGAGAAGCAAAUAGUAGAGAAUGAUAGGUGAGUGAACUCGAAGGCACAGAAAUAGACACUACCCAAAAGGAAAGAAACAGAGCAGGAAAAUGUAGAGGACAUUAGUAAAGCUGAGGAAAGAUUCAAGCAGCCUAGUAUGUAUGUAAAUGGAAUCCCAAGGGAGGUAAAUGAGAUUGUGGUACAGAAAAUUUAUUCUCAAAGUAACCAAACACAUUUCCAGUUAUUUUCACAAAACACGGACAUAAAAAAUUAAGAAUACUAGCAUAUUCUUUAAUACAAUUAAAACUGCAAAUUCUGCCAUAAAGAUCUUAAAAGCAAGCAACAGUUAGGGCCCUCCCUGGUGGCGCAACAGGUUAGGACGCAGCACUGCA